UACAGAGGCCCCAAGCGUUACUGAGAAUCACUGGGUUUAAAGGGUGCGUAGGUGGUCCGUUAAGUUCGUUGUGAAAUCCCUGGGCUCAACCCAGGAAAUGCUUCGAAUACUGGCGGACUUGAGGCUAGUAGGGGUCACUGGAACUGACGGUGGAGCGGUGAAAUGCGUAGAUAUCGGGAGGAACACCUGUGGCGAAAGCGGCUCACUGGACCACAACUGACGCUGAUGCGCGAAAGCUAGGGGAGCAAACAGG
Molecule: ribosomal RNA, 253 nt
Filed under: uncultured bacterium
Lineage: Bacteria
Description: partial 16S ribosomal RNA
Rfam family: Bacterial small subunit ribosomal RNA
Source: RNAcentral